GUCAAGAUGUGGCUAUCAAAGUUCUUAGGACUGAACAUCUAAAUGAUAAAUUGCGAAGGGAAUUUGCUCAAGAAGUAUUUAUCAUGAGGAGAGUCCGGCACAAGAAUGUUGUACAAUUUAUUGGUGCAUGUACCAGACCUCCGACCCUGUGUAUUGUGACAGAAUUUAUGUGUGGUGGAAGCAUGUUUGACUUUCUGCAUAAACAAAAGCAAAGUUUUAAUCUCCAGUCCUUGCUCAGAGUAGCAAUUGAUGUUUCCAAGGGAAUGAACUACUUGCACCAAAAUAAUAUAAUACAUAGAGAUCUGAAAGCUGCCAAUCUUUUGAUGGAUGAAAAUAGGGUGGUUAAGGUUGCUGAUUUUGGCGUUGCUAGAGUACAAGAUCAGUCUGGCGUGAUGACAGCAGAAACUGGAACAUAUCGCUGGAUGGCUCCAGAGGUUAUUGAGCAUAAUCCUUAUGAUCAUAAAGUUGAUGUUUUCAGCUUCAGCAUUGUGUUGUGGGAGCUGCUCACAGGAAAGCUUCCAUAUGAGCACUUAAACCCAUUACAGGCGGC
RNAcentral lists this unclassified non-coding RNA (550 nucleotides) under Hevea brasiliensis (rubber tree). Lineage: Eukaryota; Viridiplantae; Streptophyta; Magnoliopsida; Malpighiales; Euphorbiaceae. The record is from RNAcentral.